Long non-coding RNA from Cyprinus carpio carpio, 657 nucleotides. The record is from Ensembl. Lineage: Eukaryota; Metazoa; Chordata; Actinopteri; Cypriniformes; Cyprinidae.
AAACAUCUCUGUUUGACGUUACGGCCGAUGGAAAAGUACAACGCGGUGUUUGAAGUGUGUGUGGGCUGAUUUUUCCCCCACAAAUGUCAUUGUGAUUUUGGAAACUGCUCUCUGCAGGGGGUCCAAAUGACAGGAUGGGAGGAAUUAGGCAGUCCAUUUGAGGUUGAGGAGGGGAUAACCCUCUAAUCCGAAUGGGCUUUUUUGCACUAGGGAGGAAAAGCUGAAAAUCAAUAUUUCGUCUGGUUGCUGAGCAAAGUAAUCUUUCUGGGGAACAGGUGUCCUAUCGCCUGGCAAAGCCUCUUGUCCUUGCAUCACACAUCGAAUGGUGGCAGCUUUGGGAGGGGGACGCCCAUUCAUACCGAGGAUUGGAUGGCACCCUCAAAGGAGCUGACCUGAAAUCAUACUCGAGUCUGAAGAUAAGUGCCGCUGAGUGAUUUGUAAAAGGCCUAUAGGGCUGGAUUAUGGACUGGGCCUGGGCCUCCAAAACUGCUAAAGGAAGUUGAAGAGCAGUACCUUCAGUGCAUAAAGCAUGAGCGGCCUUACAGUGAAUACAGGCAAUUCACCCCCAAUCCAGAAGGGGCGCCCGCAGCAAUGCAGCAGAAGAACAGCAAAUGCCAUAAGAUGCGCACUGGAAAACAAAGCCCACUAGACAGUGAC